GGGCGUUUAGCUCAGUUGGGAGAGCGCCUGCCUUACAAGCAGGUGGUCGGGGGUUCAAGUCCCUCAGCGCCCACCA
Molecule: transfer RNA, 76 nt
Filed under: Candidatus Cloacimonadota bacterium
Lineage: Bacteria; Pseudomonadati; Candidatus Cloacimonadota
Also listed under: 1 other name
Description: tRNA-Val
Rfam family: tRNA
About the family: Transfer RNA (tRNA) molecules are approximately 80 nucleotides in length. Their secondary structure includes four short double-helical elements and three loops (D, anti-codon, and T loops).
Source: RNAcentral